GUAGGUGAACCUGCGGAAGGAUCAUUAUCACAUGAUUCCAUGUAUAAACCAUUCGUGAAUUGUCACCCCCUUUCGGUUUGAAAUUGGAAAUGAGAGAAGCGUUUUAAUGGUCAUUAUUGUAAUUUGAAGACCAAGUUUCUCUCUACUGUUCUGAGCUUCCGGGCGACGAAUCAGCACUAAUCUCUAACUAUACCGAAAGUGUAAUUCAAAUUACCUAACUUAUUGAUUAACAAUUGAAACCCCUUUUAAA
This 250-nucleotide unclassified non-coding RNA is filed under the name plant metagenome. Its description in RNAcentral is "partial contains small subunit ribosomal RNA, internal transcribed spacer 1, and 5.8S ribosomal RNA". The record is from RNAcentral.